GAUGAACGCUGGCGGCGUGCCUAAUACAUGCAAGUCGAGCGAACGGACGAGAAGCUUGCUUCUCUGAUGUUAGCGGCGGACGGGUGAGUAACACGUGGAUAACCUACCUAUAAGACUGGGAUAACUUCGGGAAACCGGAGCUAAUACCGGAUAAUAUUUUGAACCGCAUGGUUCAAAAAUGAAAGACGGUCUUGCUGUCACUUAUAGAUGGAUCCGCGCUGCCUUAGCUAGUUGGUAAGGUAACGGCUUACCAAGGCAACGAUGCAUAGCCGACCUGAGAGGGUGAUCGGCCACACUGGAACUGAGACACGGUCCAGACUCCUACGGGAGGCAGCAGUAGGGAAUCUUCCGCAAUGGGCGAAAGCCUGACCGAGCAACGCCGCGUGAGUGAUGAAGGUCUUCCGAUCGUAAAACUCUGUUAUUAGGGAAGAACAUAUGUGUAAGUAACUGUGACACAUCUUGACGGUACCUAAUCAGAAAGCCACGGCUAACUACGUGCCAGCAGCCGCGGUUAUACAUAGGUGGCAAGCGUUAUCCGGAAUUAUUGGGCGUUAAGCGCGCGUAUGCGGUUUUUUAAGUCUGAUGUGAAAGCCCACGGCUCAACCGUGGAGGGUCAUUGGAAACUGGAAAACUUGAGUGCAGAAGAGGAAAGUGGAAUUCCAUGUGUAGCGGUGAAAUGCGCAGAGAUAUGGAGGAACACCAGUGGCGAAGGCGACUUUCUGGUCUGUAACUGACGCUGAUGUGCGAAAGCGUGGGGAUCAAACAGGAUUAGAUACCCUGGUAGUCCACGCCGUAAACGAUGAGUGCUAAGUGUUAGGGGGUUUCCGCCCCUUAGUGCUGCAGCUAACGCAUUAAGCACUCCGCCUGGGGAGUACGACCGCAAGGUUGAAACUCAAAGGAAUUGACGGGGACCCGCACAAGCGGUGGAGCAUGUGGUUUAAUUCGAAGCAACGCGAAGAACCUUACCAAAUCUUGACAUCCUUUGACAACUCUAGAGAUAGAGCUUUCCCCUUCGGGGGACAAAGUGACAGGUGGUGCAUGGUUGUCGUCAGCUCGUGUCGUGAGAUGUUGGGUUAAGUCCCGCAACGAGCGCAACCCUUAAGCUUAGUUGCCAUCAUUAAGUUGGGCACUCUAAGUUGACUGCCGGUGACAAACCGGAGGAAGGUGGGGAUGACGUCAAAUCAUCAUGCCCCUUAUGAUUUGGGCUACACACGUGCUACAAUGGACAAUACAAAGGGCAGCGAAACCGCGAGGUCAAGCAAAUCCCAUAAAGUUGUUCUCAGUUCGGAUUGUAGUCUGCAACUCGACUACAUGAAGCUGGAAUCGCUAGUAAUCGUAGAUCAGCAUGCUACGGUGAAUACGUUCCCGGGUCU
RNAcentral lists this ribosomal RNA (1373 nucleotides) under uncultured bacterium. RNAcentral describes it as "bacterial SSU rRNA". It matches the Rfam family "Bacterial small subunit ribosomal RNA", at positions 28 to 1381 of the family's 1533-position model. The record is from RNAcentral.